NNNNNNNNNNNNNNNNNNNNNNNNNNNNNNNNNNNNNNNNNNNNNNNNNUGGAGCCGUGUCGCAGGGGCCGGGCUCUGGCACGGUGUCAGCUCACCCCGAGCCAUGGCAAUGGUGCCCCGGCACCCCACCUUCCCCAGGCGCCCGGGAAGUGCUGGUGGCCCCAUGCAACCUGGACCCUGGGAGGAGGGUCUCUUCCUUUCCACACUUCAGAGGGUCCUGCAUUUCGCUUCCAGGUGGGAAGAGACGGGCUGAGGAGGGGGCUUGGAUCCGGACUGGGGGAGCGGCGAGAUUGGGCCUGCUCUCAGCCCCCAGGGAGGGGGAGGCUGCUGCCAGAAGCUGCAGGCCGGCAUUGCACUGGAGACUCCCACGUGCCCUUCCUCUUCCCUCCUGGAGCCCCUGGGCCCCGACGCCAACGCACGGGCUCCAGCCCUGUCCUGCGCACCGCGUCCUGGGGGGAAGUGGUGUCACCGUCUCCACUGCCCCGGAGCACGCAUCCUGCCAGGCUCGGCCACUGCUGCUGCACAGGAGCGAGGCAGGCCAGGCUCCUCUGGGGCAGGACUUGGAGGCAGCCUGGAUGCACCUAAAAGGUUGGUUGUGCUGGUGGCACCUGGGUCCGGGAGGGCAGAGGAGCUUGGCUCCCUAUCGCUGCUGCCAGGCAGGGGCAGCCGCCCAUUGCGGUCCCCUCCCGGGGCUCCGGCCUCUGCCAGAGGUGAGGCCCCUGGAGCUGGCGGCUCUGGGAGUCGCUAAAUCCAAGUGUCGUGGGCAAAGAGGGCUAGUCGCUCCCCGUGGCCAGGAAGGAAACCUAAAUCCCCAGAGACGCUGUCGCGCGAGCCAUCCCCAGGCCCAUCCCUCUGCCCUUGGCUCCUGGCUCUGUGCCCCAGUCUCUGGUGUCGGCUGCUGGCCAAGUUCCCGUCUCAGUGCCCUUCCUGUUUCUGGAGCCAAAAGAGCUGGUUUUGGGGACAGGGAAGGUCUGUGCUUGAGCGCAGGCACUUGGAGGAAAGACAACAAGCCCUGGGC
RNAcentral lists this long non-coding RNA (1018 nucleotides) under Crocodylus porosus (Australian saltwater crocodile). Its description in RNAcentral is "lncRNA (ENSCPRG00005008165.1)". Lineage: Eukaryota; Metazoa; Chordata; Crocodylia; Crocodylidae. The record is from RNAcentral.